This 29-nucleotide non-coding RNA is filed under the name Mus musculus (house mouse). Lineage: Eukaryota; Metazoa; Chordata; Mammalia; Rodentia; Muridae. The record is from RNAcentral.
UAUAUCACUAUUGAUCCUGGGAGCUGACU